CAGCCAACGGUGUCACAGUGUAGUUAGUGACGUCACAGCCAACGGUGUCACAGUGUUGUUAGUGACGACACAGCCAACGGUGUCACAGUGUAGUUAGUGACGACACAGCCAACACAGAACUGAACCAGAACCAGCUCUCCUCUAACAGAACUGCAGUUGUCAAUAUGAGCAGAUUCAUUGUGAUGAAUUGUUCUGGACCUGUUCUGACCCAGUUGGCUCCAUGUUGGUUCUGGUGACGUGUCGAUGAGACUUUAAUUACAACAAACUGACAAACAUGUGUGAGAUUCCUGACCCAGUUCAGACAGGAUCAAGACUUUAUCAGAACAGAAUUAGGGGCGUGGCCUCUAUAAUGUAUGUUACAGAUAAUGACGUCAUCAUAAACAUCUCAUCGGACUCCUGUAACAUCCAGUUAAUAUUCAAAUGUUUAAAAGUGAUCGAUCUGAUCGGAACUAUGGUCAAACUAACCUCACGGCCUUUACGUGAUGACGUACAUGGUGACGUCAUGUCGGAAAAGUGAAGUGCGCAGUGUGUAGGAGCUAGCAGCUAACAGCUAGCAGCUAACCGCGGGGGAAAGUAAAAGCAGGUGAACGCGAGUGAAACUACACUGUGGACUUCGGAACCGACAUGAGCCCGUCACAGAGGUGUGCACAUGUUCUGCUGUUGAUGUUCUCCGUCUGCAGAAUGAGUCCAGUGAGCUGCCAGAACAAAGUCAACGCUUCUGUGGGAGAAACGGUCCUGCUGACCUGCAGCGUCAGCGAGGUCGGCCUGGCCCUGAAGGACGCCUCCGUCUACUGGACCGACAAGGACGACAACACCGUCCUGGACAUCAUCAAGAAUGAACCGGACCUUUCAUCACAGAGUGACAGAUAUAAAGACCGAGUGAGCAGCUUCCCCGACAGAUACCAAGCCGGAAACUUCUCCAUCCAGAUGAAGAAGGUCCAGCUGUCAGACAGCAGCCCGUACGACUGUAAGGUCCCACAGCUGGGCUUCAGGAACCGGGUCACACUCAACGUGUCAGCUAAACGUAAUGGACCAGGACCAGAACCAGGACCAGAACCAGGACCAGGACCGUCCGGUGGAGCUGUGGUAACACUGAACUCCAUCCACAUGACAGUGCUGUCUGUGACUGUGCUCAGCUGUUUUAUUUAACAAGAUGUGAGGCGACACAAACAAUAUAUUCCACAUUUAGAGCUGAGAAUAUAAUAAUCUUCAUAUUAAAUAUCAAGCAAUCAGUUAAUAUACUAACCAAGCAGCAUUUCAUCGUUCUCCUAAACAACUGAAGAACGACAGAAAAAACACCAACAUAAAUAAAAACAAAUAAGUACUCCAAAACUCAAAUAAAACUUUGCUGAAUCAGCUGUUAGCACGUCUCAUUAGCAGUGAACUCAUAGACGUUCAGGCGACCAUCACCGGAUCACUGCGAUGCUGAACAAAACUCAGAAACAUGAAGACUCUCAGGCAGGUUCUGAACAAGCCGCCUCUUUUUUUAGGAUUUUCUAAAAGCAGGAACGAUCGACCAGGUUUUUCUCUCGCUGUACUUCAUAGAUGACACUGCUAGCUUAGUGUUAGCCUGCAGCUAGCUUAGCAUUCGUCUGCGGCGUUACUUCCUGACUCGUCUCCUGUGUGAUGAAGACGAUCAGCUGACCGGGAUCAGCGUCGGACAUGUUGGUUUCUCUUCUUUGUCAGAGAUCCUUUAUUGAUGUGUUUGUGACGAGGGUUCACUCUGGACAGGUUUGAGAUUGUUUAUUUUUGCUGAAUAUUAUUUUAUCUUAUAAUAGCCUCCAGGAUAAAGUUGAGCUGUUGUUGUAAAACGUCUUUGUAAAGAAGUUUGUCAGGACUUAAAAGGAUCUGCACAUCUUUACUGAUCCUCGUGAGUCUCACAGUGACGGAGCUGAGAAGAAUCAGAUCGUUGAUUUAGAGAGUCGUGACACCUUUCGUCCCGAAGCAAGCAGACAUCAGCUAGAUUUCUUUUUAAAUACGUUAAACGUCAGUUUACUUGUUUUAUUGGCACUGUUGGCCCAAUUCUCCUGUUUGUUGGCUCGUUAGCGCCACCAGUGGUCAGAAACUCUGCAGAGUCCAUUUAAGCUUCAGAGACGUUAUAUGAAGACGACGACUGGAUGUCGGCACUUUAAUAUGUAAAAUCAUCUCAUCGAGUUUAUGGAGGAAUGAGACCGCCAGAAGUAAAGAAAGAACAGAAUGUAUGAAUCCAAAUGAAUCAAAGCAUUCAUUUAUAAAGGGACACAAACUGAUUUGUAUUUACACUGCACAAGUUUAAACCCUGAAUGAAUAACAAAAAAAAAUUAUAAAUAGUAUAUAAAAUUUAAAAAAUGAAAAAUUGAACCUGUAAAACUUACAGAAACACGGAAAGGACAUUUGUUUAUUUAUUUAUAUUUUUUGCUGCAUUCAUGCAUUUUUAUUUAUUGAAAAAUUAUCAUUUCAAUGCAAAAUAAUUUGGAUGGUGUCUUUGUGUCAGUCCUCCGUAUGUCUUUGGUUCUAAAUUGUUUAACUUUGUGAAAAUAUUAUUUAUAUUUAUUAGGUUCCUUAUGAAGGAUUAAAUAGUUCAUAAUGAGGUCGUUACAGUCGAGAUGACGAAGAUUUAAUUUGUUUAUAAAUCCUCAUUAAAAACCAAAGAACAUUUUUUUCAGGCGUGAAGACGUAAAACAUGUGAAACUUCAUCAGUACGGACAUCAACAUCAAAUACAGAACUCAUUAAUUAACAUCGUGAAAUAUUAAACUACACAGAAAAACAUUUUGUUCUAAUAAUCAUUAAUUGUCAGAGAAUUGUGUCUGAUGAAAAUAUGAAGCGUGCAGCUGUGUUGUUUCUCUAAUGAAUCAUUAGAUUAUUAUUGUUAUUUCUGUUCAGUGUUAAUAAGCUAUUACACGUAUUUUUAUUGGACACAAACAGUUCAUUGAUUAUUAGAACAGAUCACUGGUUGUUCUGUGGCAGGACUCAAAAAUAAAUCAAGUGUUUCUGUAACUUGAUUUGUUCCCUACAUUUAUUUUGAAUAUCACUUUUUGUACAUUUAAUAUAUUAAUUUAUAUAUAAUGAGUCAUUUUUUUUCAGUUUCAGUCCUCAUGUUUCAAGUCUUCAUGCUGAAGCUAAGCUAUGCUAAUGCUAACAGCUGAGGCAAUAAACUGCAGGUCACCUUUAUAUAAGCUUUGUUGUGUUGAUAUCAGGAAUGUUCUGGAUGCUGGCGACCUCUCUCUGUAUGUUGUUAAUAUUUAAAAUGUCCACUUCCUGUCAUGAAGGCUAACAGAUCUGUAUUCCCACUGAGACCAGUUGGAUUAUGGGAAAUGUAGGAGCUUCAGUCAUAUCUUUAUAGUUUGAAUGCUUUAUAUUUAUCUUCAGUAUUUAAGCUCUGUCUGUUCUGACAUUGUUUUAUGGAAUGUCAUUUUUAUUUAUCCAAACCCACAAAUCUGCUGUAAUGUACCAAUAAAAUCAGCGCAGGAGAAUUUAAGCCUUCGUUCAUGAAACUUUUUGUAAACGUGUACCAAACCAAACAUGUUUGUAUUUAUUAUUUAAACUCUGACAGAAUCCUCUGGAGAUCUUUGAAGCCCCUUCAUGAAUAAAUCAGCACGUUCAAAAACAACUGAAGGGAAGAAAAGUUUGUGAGUUUCAGCUGCAGUUUGUUGAGUUUGUAAUAAAAAGUUGAACAAACUUUUGUCUGAAGUCUUUGUACCACAACGUGGAUUCAAACUGCUACUGCGUGUUCUGUCACUGGUACCAGUUCUACAAACAGAACCACCAGUACUUCUGGUUCCUGUUUAAUCUGAUGACUGCGAACAUUCUGCAGGAAAUAAAAUACAAAUAAGACAUUAAAUACACACAUGUUGUCCAUGAUUCAGAACACGUUCAGAACCCGUCUCAACCCAAACCAGUGAGAGUCAGCGGGUCAGAACAGGCAGAGACUCACUGAACCACAUUCAGAACCCUGUUCACACUCAGGAACUGUUACUGAGAGACGGGCCGGACCAGAAUCACCAUCAGCAGCUCGGUAUGAGAUCAGCGUUAAAGGACUUGGAUCUGGAUCCACCCUGGAUUCUGGGCCACAUUCAGUCGGUUCUGGUCUUCAGGUGCAGAAGCUGCUGCAGGAAGAAUCGGAUCAGACAUUUCACAAUAAAAUACAUGCAGACUUGAUCCUGAAAGGAAAUGUGUCGUUAAAUCAGGCUUAUCAUUUUUACUGUUGUUGUUGUUGUUGACGACACAGUUCUCACAGCUUGAUGUGUCUGAGUUAAUGAAGCGGUUCCGUGUCAGUUAGUGGCUCCAUUCUGAUCUUUGAUGACAUUCUGGCAAACUUUAUAACAUAAAGUGUCAGAAGUCACAUCUUACAUUAUGUCCUACACAGUUUAUAGAGGAGAUAUAUUUAACCGAUACAUUUUAGGUAAACGAGAAUAAACGUCUUUACUUCCGGUGGCUUACGUGCUAACGUGUUGUAGCGCGUGUUAGCAUCACAUCCGGAGUCUGAACUUGUUUCAGCCCGGACUCAUCUCCUGUGAGCACACGCUGUACCGGAAGCAGACGGAGCCGGAAGUCGUCGGAGCACUUUCGACAGACACCAGCUGAGCUGUUGACGGAGGCGAAGUGUCCAGAUGUGCAGACAGCUGUGCGGACAGACUCUGAGCCGAACAUGUGGAGGAUCUGCUGCUGUAGUACGGAGCUAACGAAGCUAACAGAGCUAACGGAGCUAACGGAGCCUGUCAGCAGGAAGCAGACG
Molecule: long non-coding RNA, 4715 nt
Organism: Sparus aurata (gilthead seabream)
Lineage: Eukaryota; Metazoa; Chordata; Actinopteri; Spariformes; Sparidae
Source: Ensembl